GGGCGCGUUUAUGAUUUUUAUUAUGUUAUUUGAUAUGAAAAAUUGACAAAAAAUAAUAUUUUAUUUGUAAAAGUAAAUCCUGAGCCUGUAAUACCUGCUCUUCUUGUUCCAUUUGAAUUAAUAGAAACAACGCUGUCGCCUUUCUUGUUCUCAUAGAAUCAUAUGAUAUGAGGUCCAUGUUUUGUGAACGUCUUUCUUAACUGUCGUAUUAGACUGACCAGUGCAUAUCGCGCAUGGCACUUUAAAUGUAUUUAAGCGCGAAAAUU
Molecule: long non-coding RNA, 266 nt
Filed under: Mytilus galloprovincialis (Mediterranean mussel)
Lineage: Eukaryota; Metazoa; Mollusca; Bivalvia; Mytilida; Mytilidae
Source: RNAcentral